This 506-nucleotide ribosomal RNA is filed under the name uncultured bacterium. RNAcentral describes it as "partial 16S ribosomal RNA". It matches the Rfam family "Bacterial small subunit ribosomal RNA", at positions 29 to 523 of the family's 1533-position model. The record is from RNAcentral.
AGUGAACGCUGGCGGUAGGCCUAACACAUGCAAGUCGAACGGCAGCACAGAGGAGCUUGCUCCUUGGGUGGCGAGUGGCGGACGGGUGAGGAAUACAUCGGAAUCUACUCUGUCGUGGGGGAUAACGUAGGGAAACUUACGCUAAUACCGCAUACGACCUACGGGUGAAAGCAGGGGAUCUUCGGACCUUGCGCGAUUGAAUGAGCCGAUGUCGGAUUAGCUAGUUGGCGGGGUAAAGGCCCACCAAGGCGACGAUCCGUAGCUGGUCGGUGGGGAGGAUCAGCCACACUGGAACUGAGACACGGUCCAGACCCCUACGGGAGUGAGCAGUGGGGAAUAUUGGACAAUGGGCGCAAGCCUGAUCCAGCCAUACCGCGUGGGUGAAGAAGGCCUUCGGGUUGUAAAGCCCUUUUGUUGGGAAAGAAAUCCAUCUGGUUAAUACCCGGGUGGGAUGACGGUACCCAAAGAAUAAGCACCGGCUAACUUCGUGCCAGCCGCCGCGGUAA